This is a long non-coding RNA of Arabidopsis lyrata subsp. lyrata, 885 nucleotides long. RefSeq lists it as uncharacterized. NCBI's taxonomy places the organism in Eukaryota, Viridiplantae, Streptophyta, Magnoliopsida, Brassicales, Brassicaceae. The transcript has 2 exons. The record is from RefSeq and is a predicted model, not a curated record.
AUAAACCAAACCCACCUAAACGUCAAACACGACACCGUAUUUGGUCAGUUCCCACAUAAUUACGUUGCAAUAAUUCAUUAUCUCAUAAGGUUGUUGUUUUUUGUUAAGAUUUCACAAAAAAUAAGAGAAAAAACUGUAUAAUUCGAAAAAAGUCAAAUUUCAUUUAUUGGGCCGGUUUAUUGGGCAAGGAAUUAUCUCAAAACCCUAAUUGGAUCCAUCAUCUUCAAUUCCUCUCAAUUAGCAGGAGACAACAUUUCAGUGAGCUCUUGUAUUGUUUUUGGAUCAGUAUGUGUGUACGGAGUAUAAUUUAGAUUGAACUGCCUCUGUGGACCGACAUUGAAAGAGCUUGCCCCAUAUGAUCCUGACUGUCAGAGCCGGUAUGCUAACAAACUCUUUGAUUCAACAUCGAUUUUAUGUGUCGAAGCGGUCAUGCCUAUACUAGUGCCUAACACAGUCGAAGUAAGGCUUUGUAGUGUAUCCAAAGAUCCUUCUGAGAUGAAUUCUGUUUUUAGCUUCCAUGGCUAUAAAAAUCUACUUGUGAGGGGAAGUCUUGGAGUUGGUGCAUUCCGUAGGAUAUAUAUCAAUAUAUGUGAUUGACACAUACAAGACAUGGACACAUCUUUUUCCAGUAAUGUUGAUCGGGUUGUAAUGUAACCAGGGGAAGGAAAAUCACAUCCAGUGGUCAAAGGGAUCUUGACCAAGUGGCUGGAAGGAUUGACCUGUGACUGAGUUUUAUAGGUGUUCUUUGUUUUGAUAGUCAUCUUCUUCUCUCUUUUUUUUUUUAACAUAGUUCUUGGAGUUGUUCACUUGUUUGUAGCUUUCUUCACUCUCUCUUUUUUUGUUUUGGUCUUCAAUGUUUAAUUUAAUUCUCUUUGGCUUGGCUCC